GAGUGAUCGAAAGAUGAAAAGCACUUUGGAAAGAGAGUCAAAAAGUACGUGAAAUUGUUGAAAGGGAAGCGCUUGCAACCAGACCUGCCCGCGGGUGAUCAGCCGUCCUUCGGGGCGGUGCACUCACCCGCGAUCAGGCCAGCAUCGGUUCGGGCGGUCGGAUAAAGGCCUUGGGAACGUGGCUCCCCUCGGGGAGCGUUAUAGCCCAGGGUGCAAUGCGGCCCGCCCGGACCGAGGACCGCGCUUCGGCUAGGAUGCUGGCGUAAUGGUUGUAAGCGGCCCGUCUUGAAACACGGACCAAGGAGUCGACCAACCGUGCGAGUGUUUGGGCGUCAAACCCACACGCGCAAUGAAAGUGAACGGAGGUGGGAACCCCUCGCGGGGCGCACCAUCGACCGAUCCAGAUGUCUUCGGAUGGAUUUGAGUACGAGCAUGGCUGGUCGGACCCGAAAGAUGGUGAACUAUGCCUGGAUAGGGUGAAGCCAGAGGAAACUCUGGUGGAGGCUCGCAGCGGUUCUGACGUGCAAAUCGAUCGUCAAAUUUGGGCAUAGGGGCGAAAGACUAAUCGAACCAUCUAGUAGCUGGUUCCAGCCGA
This 595-nucleotide ribosomal RNA is filed under the name Xanthoria parietina. RNAcentral's name for it is "partial large subunit ribosomal RNA". It matches the Rfam family "Eukaryotic large subunit ribosomal RNA", at positions 351 to 964 of the family's 3401-position model. The record is from RNAcentral. Lineage: Eukaryota; Fungi; Ascomycota; Lecanoromycetes; Teloschistales; Teloschistaceae.